GUAACGGAGGAGCACGAAGGUGGGCUAAUCACGGUUGGACAUCGUGAGGUUAGUGCAAUGGCAUAAGCCCGCUUGACUGCGAGAAUGACAAUUCGAGCAGGUGCGAAAGCAGGUCAUAGUGAUCCGGUGGUUCUGAAUGGAAGGGCCAUCGCUCAACGGAUAAAAGGUACUCCGGGGAUAACAGGCUGAUACCGCCCAAGAGUUCAUAUCGACGGCGGUGUUUGGCACCUCGAUGUCGGCUCAUCACAUCCUGGGGCUGAAGUCGGUCCCAAGGGUAUGGCUGUUCGCCAUUUAAAGUGGUACGCGAGCUGGGUUUAGAACGUCGUGAGACAGUUCGGUCCCUAUCUGCCGUGGGCGUUGGAAGAUUGAAGGGGGCUGCUCCUAGUACGAGAGGACCGGAGUGGACGAACCUCUGGUGUUCGGGUUGUGUCGCCAGACGCAUUGCCCGGUAGCUAAGUUCGGAAUCGAUAACCGCUGAAAGCAUCUAAGCGGGAAGCGAGCCCUGAGAUGAGUCUUCCCUGAUACUUUAAGUAUCCUAAAGGGUUGUCGGAGACUACGACGUUGAUAGGUCAGGUGUGUAAGUGCUGUGAGGCAUUGAGCUAACUGAUACUAAUUGCCCGUGAGGCUUAACCAUACAACACCCAAGGGGUUU
RNAcentral lists this ribosomal RNA (652 nucleotides) under Vibrio parahaemolyticus. RNAcentral's name for it is "partial 23S ribosomal RNA". It matches the Rfam family "Bacterial large subunit ribosomal RNA", at positions 2297 to 2925 of the family's 2925-position model. The record is from RNAcentral. Lineage: Bacteria; Pseudomonadati; Pseudomonadota; Gammaproteobacteria; Vibrionales; Vibrionaceae. RNAcentral also lists the same sequence under 1 other name.